CUCCCUAAUACAUGCAAGUCGAGCGGACAGAUGGGAGCUUGCUCCCUGAUGUUAGCGGCGGACGGGUGAGUAACACGUGGGUAACCUGCCUGUAAGACUGGGAUAACUCCGGGAAACCGGGGCUAAUACCGGAUGGUUGUCUGAACCGCAUGGUUCAGACAUAAAAGGUGGCUUCGGCUACCACUUACAGAUGGACCCGCGGCGCAUUAGCUAGUUGGUGAGGUAACGGCUCACCAAGGCGACGAUGCGUAGCCGACCUGAGAGGGUGAUCGGCCACACUGGGACUGAGACACGGCCCAGACUCCUACGGGAGGCAGCAGUAGGGAAUCUUCCGCAAUGGACGAAAGUCUGACGGAGCAACGCCGCGUGAGUGAUGAAGGUUUUCGGAUCGUAAAGCUCUGUUGUUAGGGAAGAACAAGUGCCGUUCAAAUAGGGCGGCACCUUGACGGUACCUAACCAGAAAGCCACGGCUAACUACGUGCCAGCAGCCGCGGUAAUACGUAGGUGGCAAGCGUUGUCCGGAAUUAUUGGGCGUAAAGGGCUCGCAGGCGGUUUCUUAAGUCUGAUGUGAAAGCCCCCGGCUCAACCGGGGAGGGUCAUUGGAAACUGGGGAACUUGAGUGCAGAAGAGGAGAGUGGAAUUCCACGUGUAGCGGUGAAAUGCGUAGAGAUGUGGAGGAACACCAGUGGCGAAGGCGACUCUCUGGUCUGUAACUGACGCUGAGGAGCGAAAGCGUGGGGAGCGAACAGGAUUAGAUACCCUGGUAGUCCACGCCGUAAACGAUGAGUGCUAAGUGUUAGGGGGUUUCCGCCCCUUAGUGCUGCAGCUAACGCAUUAAGCACUCCGCCUGGGGAGUACGGUCGCAAGACUGAAACUCAAAGGAAUUGACGGGGGCCCGCACAAGCGGUGGAGCAUGUGGUUUAAUUCGAAGCAACGCGAGAACCUUACCAGGUCUUGACAUCCUCUGACAUCCUAGAGAUAGGACGUCCCCUUCGGG
Molecule: ribosomal RNA, 997 nt
Filed under: Bacillus amyloliquefaciens
Lineage: Bacteria; Bacillati; Bacillota; Bacilli; Caryophanales; Bacillaceae
Description: bacterial SSU rRNA
Rfam family: Bacterial small subunit ribosomal RNA
Source: RNAcentral